CUAGCUCGGAGUCUGUUCAUUCU
This 23-nucleotide non-coding RNA is filed under the name Rattus norvegicus (Norway rat). Lineage: Eukaryota; Metazoa; Chordata; Mammalia; Rodentia; Muridae. The record is from RNAcentral.